RNAcentral lists this ribosomal RNA (489 nucleotides) under uncultured bacterium. RNAcentral describes it as "bacterial SSU rRNA". It matches the Rfam family "Bacterial small subunit ribosomal RNA", at positions 24 to 518 of the family's 1533-position model. The record is from RNAcentral.
UCAGGAUGAACGCUGGCGGCGUGCCUAACACAUGCAAGUCGAACGGGCCUAUGUCCAAAGCUUCGGCAGAGGGACAUAGGUUAGUGGCGGACGGGUGAGUAACGCGUGGAGAACCUGCCCUGUACUGGGGGAUAACAGUGAGAAAUCACUGCUAAUACCGCAUAAGCGCACGGUACCGCAUGGUACAGUGUGAAAAACUCCGGUGGUACAGGAUGGCUCCGCGUUGGAUUAGCCAGUUGGCGGGGUAACGGCCCACCAAAGCGACGGUCCAUAGCCGGCCUGAGAGGGUGAACGGCCACAUUGGGACUGAGACACGGCCCAGACUCCUACGGGAGGCAGCAGUGGGGAAUAUUGCACAAUGGGGGGAACCCUGAUGCCAGCGACGCCGCGUGAAGGAUGAAGUAUCUCGGUAUGUAAACUUCUAUCAGCAGGGAAGAUAAUGACGGUACCUGACUAAGAAGCCCCGGCUAACUACGUGCCAGCCGCCGC